This 253-nucleotide ribosomal RNA is filed under the name uncultured bacterium. Its description in RNAcentral is "partial 16S ribosomal RNA". It matches the Rfam family "Bacterial small subunit ribosomal RNA", at positions 524 to 776 of the family's 1533-position model. The record is from RNAcentral.
UACGGGGGGAGCAAGCGUUGUUCGGAUUUACUGGGCGUAAAGAGCUCGUAGGCGGCUUGUCGCGUCGACUGUGAAAACCCGCGGCUCAACCGCGGGCCUGCAGCCGAUACGGGCAGGCUAGAGUUCGGUAGGGGAGACUGGAAUUCCUGGUGUAGCGGUGAAAUGCGCAGAUAUCGGGAAGAACACCCGUGGCGAAGGCGGUUCUCUGGGACGGUACUGACGCUGAGACGCGAAAGCGUGGGGAGCGAACAGG